Molecule: ribosomal RNA, 248 nt
Filed under: uncultured bacterium
Lineage: Bacteria
Description: partial 16S ribosomal RNA
Rfam family: Bacterial small subunit ribosomal RNA
Source: RNAcentral
AGGAUGGCGACCGGCGCACGGGUGAGUAACACGUAUCCAACCUGCCGAUAACUCGGGGAUAGCCUUUCGAAAGAAAGAUUAAUACCCGAUGGUAUAAUCAGACCGCAUGGUCUUGUUAUUAAAGAAUUUCGAUAACCGAUGGGGAUGCGUUCCAUUAGUUUGUUGGCGGGGUAACGGCCCACCAAGACAUCGAUGGAUAGGGGUUCUGAGAGGAAGGUCCCCCACAUUGGAACUGAGACACGGUCCAA